GGACCCAUAGCUCAGUUGGCUAGAGCGUACGAUUCACAUUCGUAAGGUCGCAGGUUCGAGCCCUGCUGGGUCCACCA
RNAcentral lists this transfer RNA (77 nucleotides) under Candidatus Saccharimonadota bacterium. RNAcentral's name for it is "tRNA-Val". It matches the Rfam family "tRNA". Rfam says of the family: Transfer RNA (tRNA) molecules are approximately 80 nucleotides in length. Their secondary structure includes four short double-helical elements and three loops (D, anti-codon, and T loops). Further hydrogen bonds mediate the characteristic L-shaped molecular structure. tRNAs have two regions of fundamental functional importance: the anti-codon, which is responsible for specific mRNA codon recognition, and the 3' end, to which the tRNAs corresponding amino acid is attached (by aminoacyl-tRNA synthetases). tRNAs cope with the degeneracy of the genetic code in two manners: having more than one tRNA (with a specific anti-codon) for a particular amino acid; and 'wobble' base-pairing, i.e. permitting non-standard base-pairing at the 3rd anti-codon position. RNAcentral also lists the same sequence under 1 other name. The record is from RNAcentral. Lineage: Bacteria; Candidatus Saccharimonadota.